GUGGGGAAUCUUGCGCAAUGGGCGAAAGCCUGACGCAGCCAUGCCGCGUGAAUGAUGAAGGUCUUAGGAUUGUAAAAUUCUUUCACCGGGGACGAUAAUGACGGUACCCGGAGAAGAAGCCCCGGCUAACUUCGUGCCAGCAGCCGCGGUAAUACGAAGGGGGCUAGCGUUGCUCGGAAUUACUGGGCGUAAAGGGCGCGUAGGCGGACAGUUUAGUCAGAGGUGAAAGCCCAGGGCUCAACCUUGGAAUUGCCUUUGAUACUGGCUGUCUUGAGUACGGGAGAGGUGAGUGGAACUCCGAGUGUAGAGGUGAAAUUCGUAGAUAUUCGGAAGAACACCAGUGGCGAAGGCGACUCACUGGCCCGUUACUGACGCUGAGGUGCGAAAGCGUGGGGAGCAAACAGGAUUAGAAACCCGAGUAGUCC
Molecule: ribosomal RNA, 425 nt
Filed under: uncultured bacterium
Lineage: Bacteria
Description: partial 16S ribosomal RNA
Rfam family: Bacterial small subunit ribosomal RNA
Source: RNAcentral